GUGCGCUGUGUUCGUGGUUGCAAGUCCAGGCCAGCUACGGGCAAAGGGAUCCACGUAAGCUGUGAGCAAGAGGCCGCAGUGAUCAUGGCGUAGUUUAGAAGUAAGUCCUCCGGAAAAUCCGGGUCAAGGCAAGUGUGGGGUCAAAGACCAGGUCGAGCGGCGCAC
This 165-nucleotide non-coding RNA is filed under the name unclassified sequences. Its description in RNAcentral is "raiA RNA". It matches the Rfam family "raiA RNA". The record is from Rfam by way of RNAcentral.